This 128-nucleotide small RNA is filed under the name Marmota monax (woodchuck). The record is from RNAcentral. Lineage: Eukaryota; Metazoa; Chordata; Mammalia; Rodentia; Sciuridae.
GCCAGGCAUGGUGGCACACGCCUGUAAUCCCAGGGGCUCUGAGGCUGAGACAGGAGGAUCAAGAGUGGGUUCAAAGCCACCCUCUGCAAAAGCAAGGCACCAAGCAACUCAGUGAGACCCUGUCUCUA